RNAcentral lists this ribosomal RNA (492 nucleotides) under uncultured bacterium. RNAcentral describes it as "partial 16S ribosomal RNA". It matches the Rfam family "Bacterial small subunit ribosomal RNA", at positions 29 to 507 of the family's 1533-position model. The record is from RNAcentral.
AGUGAACGCUGGCGGUAGGCCUAACACAUGCAAGUCGAACGGCAGCACAGUAAGAGCUUGCUCUUACGGGUGGCGAGUGGCGGACGGGUGAGGAAUACAUCGGAAUCUACUUUUUCGUGGGGGAUAACGUAGGGAAACUUACGCUAAUACCGCAUACGAUCUACGGGUGAAAGCAGGGGAGCUUCGGACCUUGCGGGAUUGAAUGAGCCGAUGUCGGACUAGCUAGUUGGCGGGGUAAAGGCCCACCAAGGCGACGAUGCGUAGCUGGUCUGAGAGGAUGAUCAGCCACACUGGAACUGAGACACGGUCCAGACUCCUACGGGAGGCAGCAGUGGGGAAUAUUGGACAAUGGGCGCAAGCCUGAUCCAGCCAUACCGCGUGGGUGAAGAAGGCCUUCGGGUUGUAAAGCCCUUUUGUUGGGAAAGAAAAGCAGCAGGUUAAUACCCCGCUGUUCUGACGGUACCCAAAGAAUAAGCACCGGCUAACUUCGUG